AAAUUGAAGAGUUUGAUCAUGGCUCAGAUUGAACGCUGGCGGCAGGCCUAACACAUGCAAGUCGAACGGUAACAGGAAACAGCUUGCUGUUUCGCUGACGAGUGGCGGACGGGUGAGUAAUAUCUGGGAAACUGCCUGAUGGAGGGGGAUAACUACUGGAAACGGUAGCUAAUACCGCAUAACGUCGCAAGACCAAAGAGGGGGA
RNAcentral lists this ribosomal RNA (205 nucleotides) under Escherichia coli. Its description in RNAcentral is "partial 16S ribosomal RNA". It matches the Rfam family "Bacterial small subunit ribosomal RNA", at positions 1 to 213 of the family's 1533-position model. Lineage: Bacteria; Pseudomonadati; Pseudomonadota; Gammaproteobacteria; Enterobacterales; Enterobacteriaceae. The record is from RNAcentral.